UACGGAGGGGGCGAGCGUUAAUCGGAAUUACUGGGCGUAAAGCGUGCGCAGGCGGUUUCUUAAGUCAGAUGUGAAAGCCCCGGGCUUAACCUGGGAACUGCGUUUGAAACUGGGAGACUUGAGUGUGGCAGAGGGGGGUGGAAUUCCACGUGUAGCAGUGAAAUGCGUAGAGAUGUGGAGGAACACCGAUGGCGAAGGCAGCCCCCUGGGUUAACACUGACGCUCAGGCACGAAAGCGUGGGGAGCAAACAGG
RNAcentral lists this ribosomal RNA (253 nucleotides) under uncultured bacterium. RNAcentral describes it as "partial 16S ribosomal RNA". It matches the Rfam family "Bacterial small subunit ribosomal RNA", at positions 524 to 776 of the family's 1533-position model. The record is from RNAcentral.